RNAcentral lists this ribosomal RNA (472 nucleotides) under uncultured bacterium. Its description in RNAcentral is "bacterial SSU rRNA". It matches the Rfam family "Bacterial small subunit ribosomal RNA", at positions 355 to 825 of the family's 1533-position model. The record is from RNAcentral.
UGGGGAAUAUUGGACAAUGGGCGAAAGCCUGAUCCAGCCAUGCCGCGUGUGUGAAGAAGGUCUUCGGAUUGUAAAGCACUUUAAGUUGGGAGGAAGGGCAGUUACCUAAUACGUAUCUGUUUUGACGUUACCGACAGAAUAAGCACCGGCUAACUCUGUGCCAGCAGCCGCGGUAAUACAGAGGGUGCAAGCGUUAAUCGGAAUUACUGGGCGUAAAGCGCGCGUAGGUGGUUUGUUAAGUUGGAUGUGAAAUCCCCGGGCUCAACCUGGGAACUGCAUUCAAAACUGACAAGCUAGAGUAUGGUAGAGGGUGGUGGAAUUUCCUGUGUAGCGGUGAAAUGCGUAGAUAUAGGAAGGAACACCAGUGGCGAAGGCGACCACCUGGGCUGACACUGACGCUGAGGCGCGAAAGCCAGGGGAGCAAACGGGAUUAGAUACCCCCGUAGUCCCUGAGCGGGCUGGCAAGGCGCAU